Molecule: ribosomal RNA, 158 nt
Filed under: Pyrenophora graminea
Lineage: Eukaryota; Fungi; Ascomycota; Dothideomycetes; Pleosporales; Pleosporaceae
Also listed under: 71 other names
Description: 5.8S ribosomal RNA
Rfam family: 5.8S ribosomal RNA
About the family: 5.8S ribosomal RNA (5.8S rRNA) is a component of the large subunit of the eukaryotic ribosome. It is transcribed by RNA polymerase I as part of the 45S precursor that also contains 18S and 28S rRNA. Functionally, it is thought that 5.8S rRNA may be involved in ribosome translocation.
Source: RNAcentral
CAACUUUCAACAACGGAUCUCUUGGUUCUGGCAUCGAUGAAGAACGCAGCGAAAUGCGAUAAGUAGUGUGAAUUGCAGAAUUCAGUGAAUCAUCGAAUCUUUGAACGCACAUUGCGCCCUUUGGUAUUCCAAAGGGCAUGCCUGUUCGAGCGUCAUUU